Molecule: non-coding RNA, 288 nt
Filed under: Solanum lycopersicum (tomato)
Lineage: Eukaryota; Viridiplantae; Streptophyta; Magnoliopsida; Solanales; Solanaceae
Description: Eukaryotic large subunit ribosomal RNA
Rfam family: Eukaryotic large subunit ribosomal RNA
Source: Rfam by way of RNAcentral
CAUGUCAGGGUUUAAAGCAUAUUAAUAAGCAUAGGAAAGAAACUUAUAAGGAUUCCCCUAGUAACAACGAGCACUAAGUGAACUGAGAAAACCUUAGCCUUAGAAUCGGGUGACUCUGUAUUCGGAGAAGUGUCCUCAAUGGCGGAUCUAGCCAUUUUUCUUGGAAGAGGGUGCUAGAAAGGGUGAGAGCCCCGUUGUGAUCAAACCCUGUCACACUAUGAUGUGCUAUAUACAAGUCGAGCUGUUUGGGAAUGCAACCCAAAUCGAGCUUUGAAUCUGAAUGUGGCA